This 138-nucleotide small nucleolar RNA is filed under the name Canis lupus familiaris (dog). Lineage: Eukaryota; Metazoa; Chordata; Mammalia; Carnivora; Canidae. The record is from RNAcentral. RNAcentral also lists the same sequence under 1 other name.
ACAGCACAUUUUAGUCUCUGGCUGGUUGAUGAACUCACAAGUGUAGAUGGUGUGCUACAUGAGGGGCAAGUCUUUUGCCAACAUCACAAGGGUCUCUGGUUCAAUGAGUGGUGUUUGACACUAAUUCUUGCUAUAACA